AUUAGUUUCUUUGACAUUGAUCUAAUGCAUUUUAAUGUGCAGAAAGUUCUGCUCAGUUUAUUAUUUUACUUCAUCAUCUGAAGUUGUACUUUCUUUUGUGUUUCAUGAGAUGUACUCGUGCUGAUGGGAGAAAUAUAUGGUAAUCAUUUUGCAAAGUGUUGUACUGAAGUUGAGCUGGAACAUACACAUUUGCGCAUAGGACUUUUAGCCCAAGACAUGGAGAGAGAGAAGGACUGAUUGUAAAUGGUGCUGGUCUUUUACUAAGGCUGCCUGCCAGCAGGAUUGCCCCGUCUUUCUCUUUAUUGAGGACACUGUCGCGAAUCUCUGGAUUAGAAGUAACUUUGUUGAUAUACCUGUGAAUUAUGAGAUCAAGAAAAAGAGGUGCAGGGCCCAGUGUUCAAAGCUACACUUCAGCUUCGUGCCCCGCAGCCAAAGAAACUGACUAGAGAGUGCACUGUUAGGAGAGAGAUUCGAUCUUCGCAUAAUAUUCUGUGGGGAAGUGCUUUCGAAUAGCAUGAUCCUGAGUCUGGAUUCCUCUGUCAGAUUGAAAGUUCAAGUCGGUCAAUUGAUCGAUCUCUUGCUCAUUGUGCAGUUGGUGUAAACUGGAAAUCGAGAAGCUCUGUACAGCCCUUUCAUCCAAUGCCAGAAACUAGAGCUGUAUGGAGACUGCAGCAUUCUGCAAAAGCUAUUUGCUCAGAGCUUCCACAGCAGUCGUCCCAUCAGUGUGAUCAAUCUUCCACCCAAGUUGUGGUGAUAGUGUAUUCUCUGAUGAAAGGUCAAGUGUGAAAAUGAAACUUGUUAACAUCUGGAAUAGCAAGUUACCAGCUCUAGGGGAGUGCACAAGUCCACACGAUGGGGAGUCAAAACAAGGCAUCCUCUUGCCCAAAAGCUGUCUUGGAGUACUCAUGUGGUUGUUGAGAUUGUGGAGAGUGAAAAUCACUUGUAGGGAAUUUUCUCCAAAUUUGAGAUUUUAACAAAAUUGAACCUUGGGACCUCCAAUGUUGAGCCUUUUCAUUUAUUUGUUGGAAAUUGUUACUAAAACUCACUGGAGGCCAAAUGAAUAUCGUAAGGUUUUGAAGGACGACAAGUGUUUGUACCUUGGAUUGAUGAUUGUAGACAAGAGUGAGUAUGACCUACUUUUCACACGUGCUUCUCCUUCCCCAUUGCCGCUAUUUUCCAGUGGGUUUGGGAUUCA
Molecule: long non-coding RNA, 1195 nt
Organism: Solanum dulcamara
Lineage: Eukaryota; Viridiplantae; Streptophyta; Magnoliopsida; Solanales; Solanaceae
Exons: 11
Source: RefSeq, a predicted model, not a curated record